RNAcentral lists this ribosomal RNA (543 nucleotides) under uncultured bacterium. RNAcentral describes it as "partial 16S ribosomal RNA". It matches the Rfam family "Bacterial small subunit ribosomal RNA", at positions 355 to 914 of the family's 1533-position model. The record is from RNAcentral.
UGGGGAAUAUUGCACAAUGGGCGAAAGCCUGAUGCAGCAACGCCGCGUGAGUGAUGAAGGCCUCCGGGUUGUAAAGCUCUGUCUUUUGGGACGAUAAUGACGGUACCAAAGGAGGAAGCCACGGCUAACUACGUGCCAGCAGCCGCGGUAAUACGUAGGUGGCAAGCGUUGUCCGGAUUUACUGGGCGUAAAGGAUGCGUAGGCGGAUUUUUAAGCGAGAUGUGAAAUACCCGGGCUUAACUUGGGUGCUGCAUUUCAAACUGGGAAUCUAGAGUGCGGGAGAGGAGAAUGGAAUUCCUAGUGUAGCGGUGAAAUGCGUAGAGAUUAGGAAGAACACCAGUGGCGAAGGCGAUUCUCUGGACCGUAACUGACGCUGAGGCAUGAAAGCGUGGGUAGCAAACAGGAUUAGAUACCCUGGUAGUCCACGCCGUAAACGAUGAGUACUAGGUGUAGGAGGUAUCGACCCCUUCUGUGCCGCAGUUAACACAAUAAGUACUCCGCCUGGGAAGUACGAUCGCAAGAUUAAAACUCAAAGGAAUUGAC